AGCGGCAGACGGGUGAGUAACACGUAGAUAACCUGCCCUCAAGACGGGGACAACCGGUGGAAACAGCGGCUAAUACCCGAUAUGCUCACAGGAUCGGGAGAUCGAGUGAGGAAAGCGCCCCUUCGGGGGAGAGUGUUUGAGGAGGGAUCUGCGGCCCAUCAGCUAGUUGGUGAGGUAACGGCUCACCAAGGCGAAGACGGGUAGGGGGUGUGAGAGCAUGGCCCCCCACAAUGGGACUGAGACACGGCCCAUACUCCUACGGGAGGCAGCAGCGGGGAAUAUUGCGCAAUGGACGGAAGUCAGACGCAGCGACGCCGCGUGGGUGAGGAAGGCCUUCGGGUUGUAAAGCCCUUUUCAGGGGAGCGAGAAAGGACGGUACCCUUGGAAUAAGCGUCGGCUAACUACGUGCCAGCAGCCGCGGUAAGACGUAGGACGCAAGCGUUAUCCGGAUUUACUGGGCGUAAAGCGCCUGUAGGCGGUCAAGUAUGUCGGAUGUGAAAGCCCCGUGCUCAACGCGGGGAAGCCAUUCGAUACUGCGUGACUAGAGAACGGCAGAGGGAAACGGAAUUUCUGGUGUAGCGGUAAAAUGCGCAGAGAUCAGAAAGAACACCGAUGGCGAAGGCAGUUUCCUAGGCCGCAUCUGACGCUGAGAGGCGAAAGCUAGGGGAGCAAACAGGAUUAGAGACCCUGGUAGUCCUAGCUGUAAACGAUGGAUGCUAGGUGUGGGCCGGAAAGGUCCGUGCCGUAGUUAACGCGAUAAGCAUCCCGCCUGGGGAGUACGGCCGCAAGGCUAAAACUCAAACGAAUUGGACGGGGAACCCGCAACAAGCAGCGGAAGCGUUGUGGGUUUUAAUUCGAUGCUACACGCAGAACCUUACCUUGGGCUUGACAUGUUAGGUGGUAGUGAAGUGAAAGCGGAAGCGACCCUUCGGGGAGCCUACACAGUGUGCAUGGCUGUCGUCAGCUCGUGCCGUGAGUGUCGGUUAAGUCCGUACGAGCGCACCUUGUCUUAGUUACAAGUGUUAAGGAGACUGCCGUGACAAACCGGAGGAAG
This 1054-nucleotide ribosomal RNA is filed under the name uncultured organism. RNAcentral's name for it is "bacterial SSU rRNA". It matches the Rfam family "Bacterial small subunit ribosomal RNA", at positions 94 to 1172 of the family's 1533-position model. The record is from RNAcentral.